RNAcentral lists this ribosomal RNA (300 nucleotides) under uncultured Bacillus sp. RNAcentral describes it as "bacterial SSU rRNA". The stretch from base 53 to 300 matches the Rfam family "Bacterial small subunit ribosomal RNA", at positions 547 to 795 of the family's 1533-position model. Lineage: Bacteria; Bacillati; Bacillota; Bacilli; Caryophanales; Bacillaceae. The record is from RNAcentral.
GGGGAUGUCUGAGUCAGAAGCGGCGGGAGGCGCGAGGGGGCAGAGGUUGGUCGGAAGUGCUGGCGGUAAAGAGGGGUUAGGCGGUUUCGCAAGGCAGGUGUGAAAGCCCGGGGCUCAACCGCGGAAGUGUACUUGAUAAUACGGAGCUGGAGUACUGAAGAGGAGAGCGGAAUGCCCGGUGUAGAGGUGAAAUUCGUAGAUAUCGGGAGGAACACCAGUGGCGAAGGCGGCUCUCUGGGCAGAUACUGACGCUGAGACGCGAAAGCAUGGGGAGCAAACAGGAUUAGAUACCCCGUAGUC